UACGGAGGGUGCGAGCGUUGUCCGGAAUCACUGGGCGUAAAGCGUGCGCAGGCGGUUUUGUAAGCCAGAUGUGAAAGCCCCGGGCUCAACCUGGGAAUGGCAUUUGGGACUGCAAGGCUUGAGUGCGGCAGAGGAGACUGGAAUUCCUGGUGUAGCAGUGAAAUGCGUAGAUAUCAGGAGGAAUACCGAUGGCGAAGGCAGGUCUCUGGGCUGACACUGACGCUCAUGCACGAAAGCGUGGGGAGCAAACAGG
RNAcentral lists this ribosomal RNA (253 nucleotides) under uncultured bacterium. RNAcentral describes it as "partial 16S ribosomal RNA". It matches the Rfam family "Bacterial small subunit ribosomal RNA", at positions 524 to 776 of the family's 1533-position model. The record is from RNAcentral.